RNAcentral lists this ribosomal RNA (425 nucleotides) under uncultured bacterium. Its description in RNAcentral is "partial 16S ribosomal RNA". It matches the Rfam family "Bacterial small subunit ribosomal RNA", at positions 354 to 796 of the family's 1533-position model. The record is from RNAcentral.
GUAGGGAAUCUUGCGCAAUGGGCGAAAGCCUGACGCAGCCAUGCCGCGUGAAUGAUGAAGGUCUUAGGAUUGUAAAAUUCUUUCACCGGGGACGAUAAUGACGGUACCCGGAGAAGAAGCCCCGGCUAACUUCGUGCCAGCAGCCGCGGUAAUACGAAGGGGGCUAGCGUUGCUCGGAAUUACUGGGCGUAAAGGGCGCGUAGGCGGACAGCUUAGUCAGAGGAGAAAGCCCAGGGCUCAACCUUGGAAUUGCCUUUGAUACUGGCUGUCUUGAGUUUGGGAGAGGUGAGUGGAACUCCGAGUGUAGAGGUGAAAUUCGUAGAUAUUCGGAAGAACACCAGUGGCGAAGGCGACUCACUGGCCCAAUACUGACGCUGAGGCGCGAAAGCGUGGGGAGCAAACAGGAUUAGAAACCCGUGUAGUCC